AGAGUUUGAUCCUGGCUCAGGAUGAACGCUAGCGGCAGGCCUAAUACAUGCAAGUCGAACGCGAUUGGGGAGCUUGCUCCCCAUGAAAGUGGCGCACGGGUGCGUAACGCGUAUGCAACCUACCUUAAUCAGGGGGAUAGCCCGGAGAAAUCCGGAUUAACACCGCAUAAAAUCACAAUCUGGCAUCAGAAAAUGAUCAAAUAUUUAUAGGAUUAAGAUGGGCAUGCGUGACAUUAGUUAGUUGGUAAGGUAACGGCUUACCAAGACGACGAUGUCUAGGGGAUCUGAGAGGAUGACCCCCCACACUGGUACUGAGACACGGACCAGACUCCUACGGGAGGCAGCAGUAAGGAAUAUUGGUCAAUGGAGGCAACUCUGAACCAGCCAUGCCGCGUGCAGGAAGACGGCCCUACGGGUUGUAAACUGCUUUUGUACCGGAAUAAACCCCGAUUCGUGAAUCGGGUUGAAUGUACGGUAAGAAUAAGGAUCGGCUAGCUCCGUGCCAGCAGCCGCGGUAAUACGGAGGAUCCAAGCGUUAUCCGGAUUUAUUGGGUUUAAAGGGUGCGUAGGCGGCCUGUUAAGUCAGGGGUGAAAGACGGUGGCUCAACCAUCGCAGUGCCCUUGAUACUGAUGGGCUUGAAUACACUAGAGGUAGGCGGAAUGUGACAAGUAGCGGUGAAAUGCAUAGAUAUGUCACAGAACACCGAUUGCGAAGGCAGCUUACUAUGGUGUCAUUGACGCUGAGGCACGAAAGCGUGGGGAUCAAACAGGAUUAGAUACCCUGGUAGUCC
RNAcentral lists this ribosomal RNA (791 nucleotides) under uncultured bacterium. RNAcentral describes it as "bacterial SSU rRNA". It matches the Rfam family "Bacterial small subunit ribosomal RNA", at positions 8 to 796 of the family's 1533-position model. The record is from RNAcentral.